RNAcentral lists this ribosomal RNA (647 nucleotides) under Claviceps citrina. Its description in RNAcentral is "eukaryotic LSU rRNA". It matches the Rfam family "Eukaryotic large subunit ribosomal RNA", at positions 1 to 669 of the family's 3401-position model. Lineage: Eukaryota; Fungi; Ascomycota; Sordariomycetes; Hypocreales; Clavicipitaceae. The record is from RNAcentral.
UGACCUCGAAUCAGGUAGGAAUACCCGCUGAACUUAAGCAUAUCAAUAAGCGGAGGAAAAGAAACCAACAGGGAUUGCCCCAGUAACGGCGAGUGAAGCGGCAACAGCUCAAAUUUGAAAUCUGGCCCCCCGGGGCCCGAGUUGUAAUUUGCAGAGGAUGCUUUUGGCGAGGCGCCUUCCGAGUUCCCUGGAACGGGACGCCAUAGAGGGUGAGAGCCCCGUCUGGUUGGAUGCCGAGCCUCUGUAAAGCUCCUUCGACGAGUCGAGUAGUUUGGGAAUGCUGCUCUAAAUGGGAGGUAUAUGUCUUCUAAAGCUAAAUAUUGGCCAGAGACCGAUAGCGCACAAGUAGAGUGAUCGAAAGAUGAAAAGCACUUUGAAAAGAGGGUUAAAUAGUACGUGAAAUUGUUGAAAGGGAAGCGCUUGUGACCAGACUUGGGCCCUGCGGAUCAUCCGGCGUUCUCGCCGGUGCACUCCGCCGGGCCCAGGCCAGCAUCAGUUCGCGCCGGGGGACAAAGGCUUCGGGGAAUGUGGCUCCUCCGGGAGUGUUAUAGCCCCCUGCGUAAUGCCCUGGUGCGGACUGAGGUUCGCGCAUCUGCAUGGAUGCUGGCGUAAUGGUCAUCAGCGACCCGUCUUGAAACACGGACCAA